Molecule: long non-coding RNA, 1430 nt
Organism: Gopherus flavomarginatus (Mexican gopher tortoise)
Lineage: Eukaryota; Metazoa; Chordata; Testudines; Testudinidae
Exons: 3
Source: RefSeq, a predicted model, not a curated record
GGAAGCUCUGAGGUCGAAUUGAGAUCCUUCUGUCCCGUCCCCUGUAGCGGUCAGUGUAUAGAAGUGGGAAAGCCUGGCUUAGACUAUAACCAGAGAAAACUGAGGCCAGCUGAACAGCAUUCAACGUACCAUGCAUUUACUGGCACAAUAGGAAUCAUGUUUUGUGUUCUAUGUUCUGUCCUGUGGUGUUUGUCUUGUGGCCGGAAUUGUUGUGUUUAAUAUUUUCAUAGAAUAGUCUAUUUUAAAAUUAAACAAAAAGGUUAAAUUAAAAUGCAGAUACUUGUCUUGUUCAACUUGGAAUACAAAGUGUUUGGAUAAAUCAGGAGAAUGUGAUAUACUAAAGUCUAAUGCAUUUCCUUAAGUAAGGAAAAGAAACUUCAUUGGCCAAGUUGUUAAUUGCAAAAUUGUUGUUAAAAUUUGCAUAUCAACAGUCUUUGAAAGCAAAGACAUGAAAAGUUAACCCACUCCCCAUACUGUACAUGGGAUCUUUCUGGCUACCUCAGAUUUCUAGCCAGAGGGCUGGGGAUGGUGGAAAGCUAUUGGACUAGAGGUUGAAUUGAAUGAACUCCUCAAAGUGGGUUUGCUUGUCCUGGCUUGUUGCUCCAAAGCUCUGUAAUAAGGUUAUUUUAGUAAAAGGGUAUGUGUGGCAUAUAUUAAAUAAUAAGACUAAUGUACUGUAUAAUGACAAUGUUUAUGUCUUCAUUGUUGGGAAAAAGGUGUAUAAGUAAAAAGUGGAAGUUUUCUUUGCAGGUUAAAAGAAGCCAAGAAGGGAAGAAGGACAAAGAACAGAAUGAAUUAACUGAAAAAAAUAAAAUAAAAUUGCAGGCUAUAGAUAAGACACUGACUCCAUUCAAGGACACUGCUCACAGUUAAGACUUGGCUAACAACCAGGAAAAGGAGGGCUUGAAUUUGCCCACGCAGCUAUGAGAUUUGCAAAACAUUGCCAGGCACUAAUGAAAUGUGUUAAGUUUCUUUUCUCACAGGUAAAGAAGCGCUACCCAAAGACCCUAGCAGCCCUGCCACUCCUUGGAACCAGGAGACGGGAUUGAUGUAAAGGUCCACCAACGAAAGACUGCUCUAGCUCCACCCUGGAAAGGCUCUUAUUAAGUCCCGCUGACUACCAACACCGCUGUGAAGUGCCAAAGACUGACUGCUUGGACCCAAGAUUCUCACUGCAAAAAGACCCCUCCACAUCGGGAGAAUUCUCCUACUGAUGAUUAGCCUAUUUCACCUUCUAGCUCCACUGUGCCUUCUGGACAGCAGGGAAAAAGUACAAGGUUGCUGAACCACGACUGUUUCGAGAAAGAAGAAGGAACACUCAGAAAUUGCCAAAGUCCAGGAAUUCCUGACUAGAAAGGACAUUAAGAACUGACCCUGGUGAAGAAACAAAGAAUUAUACAUUGGCUGGAGGACAUUUGUGGGACCCAUGC